This 482-nucleotide ribosomal RNA is filed under the name uncultured bacterium. RNAcentral's name for it is "bacterial SSU rRNA". It matches the Rfam family "Bacterial small subunit ribosomal RNA", at positions 30 to 506 of the family's 1533-position model. The record is from RNAcentral.
UUGAACGCUGGCGGCAUGCCUUACACAUGCAAGUCGAACGGCAGCGGGGACUUCGGUCCGCCGGCGAGUGGCGAACGGGUGAGUAAAGCAUCGGAACGUGCCCUGAAGUGGGGGAUAACGUAGCGAAAGUUACGCUAAUACCGCAUAUUCUGUGAGCAGGAAAGCAGGGGAUCUUCGGACCUUGUGCUUUAGGAGCGGCCGAUGUCGGAUUAGCUAGUUGGUGAGGUAAAGGCUCACCAAGGCGACGAUCCGUAGCGGGUCUGAGAGGAUGAUCCGCCACACUGGGACUGAGACACGGCCCAGACUCCUACGGGAGGCAGCAGUGGGGAAUUUUGGACAAUGGGCGCAAGCCUGAUCCAGCCAUGCCGCGUGAGUGAAGAAGGCCUUCGGGUUGUAAAGCUCUUUCGGCGGGGAAGAAAUGGCGCUUUCUAAUACAGAGCGUUGAUGACGGUACCCGCAUAAGAAGCACCGGCUAACUACGU